Long non-coding RNA from Gallus gallus (chicken), 392 nucleotides. The record is from Ensembl. NCBI's taxonomy places the organism in Eukaryota, Metazoa, Chordata, Aves, Galliformes, Phasianidae.
CAAAGAUCUGUUAUAGUCUUGAGGACCAAAACAGAAAACACCCUGGGAGAAGUAGCACUGUGAGAGGUAGAAGUUCAAGGUGCUAUUUUACUUUUUCUCACUGUGAAGAGACAAGCUAUUCUCACUGGAGCUCAGCCUUAAACUUUUGGGUUUUGCUGAUUUCCUUCUCUUCAGAAGAUGUACCCAGAAAAGUAGUUCCAGGAAAGCAAGAGGAGGGUGCUUUUCUGUGAAUACAGCAAGUCUGGUGCAGUUAAUGCAGCAUCAAGAAAGACCUACAUCAAUUCUUCAAGACCUUCUCAUGACCCAGAAAUCCCCAAACACUGUUUCUAAAAGGAAACAUGCAUGGUGUUUCUGAAAUAUAUCAUUUCCUGAGACUUUCUUAUUAGUUUCAC